Molecule: long non-coding RNA, 499 nt
Organism: Arachis stenosperma
Lineage: Eukaryota; Viridiplantae; Streptophyta; Magnoliopsida; Fabales; Fabaceae
Exons: 3
Source: RefSeq, a predicted model, not a curated record
GUUUGGAUAUUUUAUGAGAACGAGAGUGUAUUUACAAAAAGUUUAAUUUAUACGUUCAAAUUAGUAAAAGUCUAAAAAAUGUAAGAUUAGAAACAUAAGUUUAAUCUUCGCUGAAUCAGUUAUGAGAUCUAAUUUAAUAGCAAUUUAAAAUUGCUGCAAAAUCACGGGUUUUCAAUGGGUGUAUGUGAUACAAAUGCAAGAAGGGAGACCAAUAAAAGAACAAGCCAUGUGGAAGAAGGUAUGAAUAGCAAGACCAUAACAAACCAUUCACGCGGAAAACAAAAGGAUGACGAAAGUGAAAGGUAGUUAAGGAAAAAAAAUGAUCAGAAAAAAAGGAGUGCAUGAAUUGUGAGCUGGGAGUCUAAUACUGCUUGUGGGCUUCUCCCUUGAUUUUUCUUUCCUUUUCCUCCUUGUAAUUACUCUUGACCUCAUACACCAGAUAUCAUUCCUUGUGUUAGUUCUAUUAUUUUUUAUAUACUAUACACACAUUAUCAUUGGA